AAUCAACGCUGGCGGCGUGCCUCAGACAUGCAAGUCGAACGCGAAAGUUUCCUUCGGGAAGCAAGUAGAGUGGCGUCCGGGUGAGUAACACGUAGGUAAUCUACCUUUGGGUGGGGAAUAACAACCGGAAACGGUUGCUAAUACCGCAUAAUGCAGCGGCAUCACAUGAUGACAGUUGUUAACGCGGGGGAUCGCAAGACCUCGCGCCUAAAGAGGAGCCUGCGGCGGAUUAGCUAGUUGGUAGGGUAACGGCCUACCAAGGCAACGAUCCGUAGCCGGCCUGAGAGGGCGGUCGGCCACACUGACACUGAAAUACGGGUCAGACUCCUACGGGAGGCAGCAGUCGGGAAUUUGGGCAAUGGGCGAAAGCCUGACCCAGCAACGCCGCGUGAAGGAUGAAAUCCCUCGGGAUGUAAACUUCGCAAGAACGGGAAGAAUAAGUGGAAGUUAAUACCUUCCAUGAUGACGGUACCGUUUGUAAGCUCCGGCUAACUCCGUGCCAGCAGCCGCCGCGGUAAU
This 519-nucleotide ribosomal RNA is filed under the name uncultured bacterium. RNAcentral's name for it is "bacterial SSU rRNA". It matches the Rfam family "Bacterial small subunit ribosomal RNA", at positions 32 to 524 of the family's 1533-position model. The record is from RNAcentral.